CGAACACGUAGACAUCAGCCGGAAUGAGGUUUCACCUGUGAUGACCUGUAUUUGUCAUUAAAAAGGAUAAACCCACAUGAAGACCUGUCUAUGGGAGGAAAAACAGCUGUCUAUGGGGGAAACGCAAGCCAUUUUGAAGCUGAGAAGAGAGGGAAAAUGUAUCUUAGCCAGUGCACGAGCAUUGGGCAUAAUCAAUACAGCAAUUUGGAAUGUCUUGAAAAAGAAAGAAACCACUGGUGUAUUAAUAACCAGACAUUGAACAGGGCAGGGGUGACGGUAUCACAAUCCACCAUUCGAAGAAGACGUCAAGUGCAGAAAUAUAGAGGCAAUACCACAAGGUGCAAACCACUCAUCAGCAGUAAGAAUCGAAAAGCCAGAUUGGAAUUUGCAAAAGAAGUACAGAGAUGAGCCACAAAAGUUCUGUAACCAAGAUUAACCUCAACCAAAGUAAUGGAAAGGCCAAAGUGAGGAGAAAGAAUGGAUCUGCUCAUGAUCCAAAAGCUAGAAGCUCAUCAGUCAAGCAUGGUGGAAGUAGUGUCAUGGCUUGGGUUUGCAUGGCUGCUUCUGGAACAGGCUCACUAAUCUUUAUUGAUGAUGUAACUCAUGUCGGUAACAACAGAAUGAAUUCAGAAGUUUACAGGAACAAUGUCUUCCAAUUUUCAGAGAAAUGCAUCCAACCUAAUUGGGAGGAACUUCAUCAUGCAGCAAGACAAUGAUCCAAAACACACUGCCAACACAAUAAAUGACCUCAUCUAAAAAGGCAACAGUUUGGUGAUGUGAAUGCAUCUUCGGGUUGAUGCAGUUAUUGCAAGCAAGGGAUAUGCAACCGGAUAUUAAGUGUUAUUUACUUUAAGGCCAUCUGUUCCAUUAUUAUUGCUCCCCUAAAAAUUAGGUGUUCUGAUACAAAAGGUUUUAUGUUGUUUAACACAUCUAGAUGUAAAUACCAGGAAAUGAAAGCUGAAAUUCUGAUCUAUUGUCUCAUCCAUCUUUGGAUCCUUCAGUGUAUAGCACAAACAAAAGAAUAAGCAUUGCCUUUCCAAUAGUUUUGGAGUGGACUGUAUACUGAUAACAUAAUAUUUUGUUAACAUUUAGCAUAAAGUAUGUCUGUCACGUCAACACACACACACUGUAGUUUGAACUUUGUGUUCUCUGUACAACACAUACACUGUAUAUGUACAUGACUAU
Long non-coding RNA from Ictalurus punctatus (channel catfish), 1185 nucleotides. The record is from Ensembl. Lineage: Eukaryota; Metazoa; Chordata; Actinopteri; Siluriformes; Ictaluridae.